UACAGAGGUCCCAAGCGUUGUUCGGAUUUACUGGGCGUAAAGGGUGCGUAGGCGGCAGGGAAAGUUCGGGGUGAAAUCUCCAGGCUCAACUUGGAAACUGCCCUGAAUACUUCCCUGCUAGAGGGUCGCAGAGGAGAUUGGAAUUCUCGGUGUAGCAGUGAAAUGCGUAGAUAUCGAGAGGAACAUCAGUGGCGAAAGCGAAUCUCUGGGCGGCAUCUGACGCUGAGGCACGAAAGCCAGGGGAGCAAACGGG
Molecule: ribosomal RNA, 253 nt
Filed under: uncultured bacterium
Lineage: Bacteria
Description: partial 16S ribosomal RNA
Rfam family: Bacterial small subunit ribosomal RNA
Source: RNAcentral